CAGUCGCCGCGGUAAUACGAAGGGGGCUAGCGUUGUUCGGAAUUACUGGGCGUAAAGGGCGCGUAGGCGGCCAUUCAAGUUAGAUGUGAAAGCCCUGGGCUCAACCUAGGAAUUGCAUUUGAUACUGUUUGGCUUGAGUUCGGGAGAGGUGAGUGGAAUUCCCAGCGUAGAGGUGAAAUUCGUAGAUAUUGGGAAGAACACCGGUGGCGAAGGCGGCAACCUGGUCCUUGACUGACGCUGAGGCGCGAAAGCGUGGGGAGCAAACAGGAUUAGAUACCCGAGUAGUCCCUGUCUCUUAUAC
RNAcentral lists this ribosomal RNA (301 nucleotides) under uncultured bacterium. RNAcentral's name for it is "partial 16S ribosomal RNA". It matches the Rfam family "Bacterial small subunit ribosomal RNA", at positions 509 to 807 of the family's 1533-position model. The record is from RNAcentral.